UGCAGCCAUUUUUUAUUCUGUGUCUGGAUAUAAUUACUUUUAUGGGAAGAAUGUACAUGCUUUCAACAUCUUUGUAAGCUUGAUUCAUCGACUAUUAAAAAUCAUCUUGAUAUACAAAAUCUCCAAAAAAUUCCCUUAAACAAACAAAAAACACCCCCACAACAGCAACAACAACAAAACCACAAAAAAACCAAACAAGCAAACAAAAAACCCCCCAAUAGUAAUGCCCCAAAAACCCCAAACAAAACAAGUCUCUCAAGUGGACUCUGAACUGGCAAAAAUCUGUGAUCAAUAUUCCCCUUUCCUUCUUCAUUUCAACCUAAAGGAUGUUGAGACUCACUAUCCUUAGUGAGCAAAAAAGUAAGCUAAUUAACAGACAACUGCUGCUCUUUACUUAAAAAAAAACGUAGACAAAGCAUGAAAUAUUUUCCUGUGCUAUUUAUUUUGAGUCAAUAUUCAGUAUGGAUAUGAGCUGUAUUUAUCAAUUAAUAACUAAGUUUCACAUAUCUGAAUGCACAGGCCUAGGAGGGAUACUCAAGCAAGGAAGGCAAAAAGAAAAUAAGGCCUUGGAGGGAGAGAUUUUCUGGGUCAGACUAAAAGCUGCAGAAGUUUAACUGAGCAAGAGGGGUAUCAUCACCAACCUUGAAAUGUAAUGUUAAGAAUUGUACAUCAUAGUGCAGUUCAUUUUUCAUAAAACUUUUCAUUUUGGGACUAUCUGGCAGGCUGAGGAGAAAUGUGAGGAUCCUAACCAUGUUUUCCUGUCAUUUAUUAACUGUCUUUACUCAGAUGAUGUGUAGAGCUGGAUCAUUUCUUAUGUCCUCAAGAAUGGAUGGAACUUAGUUGUUGCCACUAAAACAAAUGGGUUAUGAAACUCACAAGAUGCUCCAGCCACAAAAACAGGCUCUGCUCCACCUUCUACCUGGGCCCCCAGGGAAGACAGGGAGGCUGCUGGGAAUUCAUACUCCUGGUGCCAGGAGAAUAAACCCUGUUGUUUGCAGAAAGAUGGCAACUCUGUGAAAGACAUACUUUGCUAAAACCUCAUUAUCGCAGUAGGAACACUCUCCAUCUGUUUUUAUGUAAAUAAUUUCAAAGUGUAUGAUUUGUGUAAUGUAUUUUGUUUGAAUUAGUUUUCACCAGUGAGAUGAGGAUAAAGAUUUUCUUUUAUAUUACACAGCUGGUUUUACUUCUUCUUAGCAUCCGAUACUUUUAUUAUUUCUAUACAAAUUCCUUUACUGCAGGAGAUUUAUUACUUAUAGUAAUCUUGCGUGCUGUGAAUUUCUUAUAGCUCAUUCAUUUGGCCUUUCAUGUGACUACUCUAGAUGGGAGAUAGAAUGAAAGGAAGGAGAUCUAAAUCUGGUC
Molecule: long non-coding RNA, 1359 nt
Filed under: Taeniopygia guttata (zebra finch)
Lineage: Eukaryota; Metazoa; Chordata; Aves; Passeriformes; Estrildidae
Description: lncRNA (ENSTGUG00000025956.1)
Source: RNAcentral